AAUGGAUGCUAGGGGAGCUUCGUAUGAGGCUGAGAGGGGAUUAGUUCCCGACCCUUGGAACCUGUCAGGAUAAUGCCUGCGUAGGGAAGCAUCAAAGUGUUUGA
Molecule: non-coding RNA, 104 nt
Filed under: Caldanaerobius fijiensis
Lineage: Bacteria; Bacillati; Bacillota; Clostridia; Thermoanaerobacterales; Thermoanaerobacteraceae
Also listed under: 1 other name
Description: TPP sequence
Rfam family: TPP riboswitch aptamer (THI element)
About the family: Vitamin B(1) in its active form thiamin pyrophosphate (TPP) is an essential coenzyme that is synthesised by coupling of pyrimidine and thiazole moieties in bacteria. The previously detected thiamin-regulatory element, thi box was extended, resulting in a new, highly conserved RNA secondary structure, the THI element, which is widely distributed in eubacteria and also occurs in some archaea.
Source: RNAcentral